GAUGAACGCUGGCGGCGUGCCUAAUACAUGCAAGUCGAGCGAACAGAUGAGGAGCUUGCUCCUCUGACGUUAGCGGCGGACGGGUGAGUAACACGUGGAUAACCUACCUAUAAGACUGGGAUAACUUCGGGAAACCGGAGCUAAUACCGGAUAAUAUAUUGAACCGCAUGGUUCAAUAGUGAAAGACGGGUUUGCUGGCACUUAUAGAUGGAUCCGAGCCGCAUUAGCUAGUUGGUAAGGUAACGGGUUACCAAGGCAACGAUGCGUAGCCGACCUGAGAGGGUGAUCGGCCACACUGGAACUGAGACACGGUCCAUACUCCUACGGGAGGCAGCAGUAGGGAAUCUUCCGCAAUGGGCGAAAGCCUGACGGAGCAACGCCGCGUGAGUGAUGAAGGUCUUCGGAUCGUAAAACUCUGUUAUUAGGGAAGAACAAAUGUGUAAGUAACUAUGCACGUCUUGACGGUACCUAAUCAGAAAGCCACGGCUAACUACGUG
This 497-nucleotide ribosomal RNA is filed under the name uncultured bacterium. RNAcentral's name for it is "partial 16S ribosomal RNA". It matches the Rfam family "Bacterial small subunit ribosomal RNA", at positions 28 to 507 of the family's 1533-position model. The record is from RNAcentral.